RNAcentral lists this ribosomal RNA (422 nucleotides) under uncultured bacterium. RNAcentral's name for it is "bacterial SSU rRNA". It matches the Rfam family "Bacterial small subunit ribosomal RNA", at positions 359 to 776 of the family's 1533-position model. The record is from RNAcentral.
GAAUUUUGGGCAAUGGGCGAAAGCCUGACCCAGCAACGCCGCGUGAAGGAGGAAAUCCUUCGGGAUGUAAACUUCACAAGCAAGGGAAGAGCGCGAGGGGGUUAAUAACUCCCUCGUCCGACGGUACCUUGCGUAAGCCACGGCUAACUACGUGCCAGCAGCCGCGGUAAUACGUAGGUGGCAAGCGUUGUUCGGAAUUAUUGGGCGUAAAGGGCGCGUAGGCGGUUCGUUAAGUCGGCUGUGAAAGCCCGGGGCUCAACCCCGGAGGGUCGGCCGAUACUGGCGAACUAGAGUACGGAAGAGGUAGCUGGAAUUCCCGGUGUAGCGGUGAAUGCGUAGAUAUCGGGAGGAACACCUGAGGCGAAGGCGGGCUACUGGGCCGAUACUGACGCUGAUGCGCGAAAGCCAGGGGAGCGAACGGG